GAUGAACGCUGGCGGCGUGCCUAAUACAUGCAAGUCGAGCGAACAGACGAGGAGCUUGCUCCUCUGACGUUAGCGGCGGACGGGUGAGUAACACGUGGAUAACCUACCUAUAAGACUGGGAUAACUUCGGGAAACCGGAGCUAAUACCGGAUAAUAUAUUGAACCGCAUGGUUCAAUAGUGAAAGACGGUUUUGCUGUCACUUAUAGAUGGAUCCGCGCCGCAUUAGCUAGUUGGUAAGGUAACGGCUUACCAAGGCGACGAUGCGUAGCCGACCUGAGAGGGUGAUCGGCCACACUAGAACUGAGACACGGUCCAGACUCCUACGGGAGGCAGCAGUAGGGAAUCUUCCGCAAUGGGCGAAAGCCUGACGGAGCAACGCCGCGUGAGUGAUGAAGGUCUUCGGAUCGUAAAACUCUGUUAUUAGGGAAGAACAAAUGUGUAAGUAACUAUGCACGUCUUGACGGUACCUAAUCAGAAAGCCACGGCUAACUACGU
This 496-nucleotide ribosomal RNA is filed under the name uncultured bacterium. RNAcentral's name for it is "partial 16S ribosomal RNA". It matches the Rfam family "Bacterial small subunit ribosomal RNA", at positions 28 to 506 of the family's 1533-position model. The record is from RNAcentral.